Macaca fascicularis (crab-eating macaque) is the source of this 148-nucleotide unclassified non-coding RNA. It matches the Rfam family "Metazoan signal recognition particle RNA". From Rfam's summary of the family: The signal recognition particle (SRP) is a universally conserved ribonucleoprotein. It is involved in the co-translational targeting of proteins to membranes. The record is from Ensembl. Lineage: Eukaryota; Metazoa; Chordata; Mammalia; Primates; Cercopithecidae.
GCCGGGCGUGGUGGCGUGUGCCUGUAAUCCCAGCUACUCGGGAGGCUGAGGCAGGAGGAUCACUUGAACCCGGGAGGCAGAGGUGGCAGUGAGCCGAGGUCGUGCCACUGCACUCCAGCCUGGGUGACAAAGUGAGACCCCAUCUCAA